This 489-nucleotide ribosomal RNA is filed under the name uncultured bacterium. RNAcentral's name for it is "bacterial SSU rRNA". It matches the Rfam family "Bacterial small subunit ribosomal RNA", at positions 501 to 987 of the family's 1533-position model. The record is from RNAcentral.
CUACGUGCCAGCAGCCGCGGUAAUACGUAGGGUGCAAGCGUUGUCCGGAUUUAUUGGGCGUAAAGGGCUCGUAGGCGGUUUGUUGCGUCUGGUGUGAAAGCUUACUGCUUAACGGUAGGUUGCGCUGGAUACGGGCAGGCUUGAGUGCAGUAGGGGAGACUGGAAUUCUCGGUGUAACGGUGGAAUGUGUAGAUAUCGGGAAGAACACCUAUGGCGAAGGCAGGUCUCUGGGCUGUUACUGACGCUGAGGAGCGAAAGCGUGGGGAGCGAACAGGAUUAGAUACCCUGGUAGUCCAUGCUGUAAACGGUGGACGCUGGAUGUGGGGCCCAUUUCCACGGGUUCUGUGUCGGAGCUAACGCGUUAAGCGUCCCGCCUGGGGAGUACGGCCGCAAGGUUAAAACUCAAAGAAAUUGACGGGGGCCCGCACAAGCGGCGGAGCAUGCGGAUUAAUUCGAUGCAACGCGAAGAACCUUACCAGGGCUUGACAU